AUAAAAUACAUUAUGCUUGGGAAAGCAUUGCUGGAAACCGUGAGAAGGCUGGUUUCUUUUGGCGAAUUCUAUAAAGGGGGUAGGAAAUCGUAACAUCCUAAUUAUUUUUCUCCCAACUUGUUGCCUAUCUAUUUUUGAAGAUACAGUAGCUGAUUAAAACCUAGAUUUACAGGAGUUCCCAUCGUGGCUCAGAGGUAACAAACCCAACUAGGAUCCAUGAGGACUCGGGUUCGAUCCCUGUCCUUGUUCAGUGGGUGAAGGAUCUAGCGUUGCCCUGAGCUGUGGUGUAGGCACAGAUGUGGCUCAGAUCCCAAGUUGCUGUGGCUGUGGCUUAGGCUGUCAGCUGCAGCUCUGAUUUGACCCCUGUCCUGGGAACUUCCAUAUGCUGCAGGUGUGUUCCUAAAAACAAACAAACAAACAAACAGAAAAACCCAACCAACCAACCAAACAAAAAGCAACGCCCCCCCCCCCAAACCCACCUAGAUAUAUAAAAGAGAUUGAAAACCAUUUGAGGAAUGAAAAAUAAUCAAAUUGAGACAGCUACUGCUACUGAAAUUCAUGUGUCACUUUUUGGUUCUUGACAAUGCAAAGACAAAAAAAGGGAAAUAUAGAGCGGGUCUGUUUGUCUUAUCUUUUAAGCUUAUGCAAAAUAGCAAACUUUGUAUUGACAAGAAGUUCCAAAUGCAAUUUAGUAAGUAGAGCUUUCUAAAUAAUGCCAGGGUAAACAGAAGGCAAUGUAGCUUCUCUUGCUUUGUAAAAGCGAUCAAAACGUUUAUCCUGUGGCCAGUUUUCAUGUGGUGGUUAAUUCGAAAUGAAGGCCAUAACACACAAUAGAAAUUAUUUGGGAGGCUAAACUAACGUGGUUCAGUUGUGCUGAUUUCUGUUCACCUAACUCAAUUUAGAGAUGAAUCAUUAAGACCUAGGGUGAGGAAUAGUAAUGCCCCUCAGGCUGUACCUCAGGUGUCAGUGAUCUCAGUUAUGCUUCCAAUAUGAGCUAACCAGGCUUCACUGAAUGGUUGUUGAGUGACUGAACAAGUGUAUGUGUUCUGGGGGUGAUCGAAUAUCAGUAUUUAAGAUGAAUUAUGAUAGCAGAACUGCAGCUUUGAAAGGAGGUAACUCCUAACUGUGUGUAACUUUUGACAUUACUUAAUCUCUUUCAGCUUAAGCAAAAUAGGGAUUAUAAUAUGUAAUUUGAAAGAUUGUGG
RNAcentral lists this long non-coding RNA (1205 nucleotides) under Sus scrofa (pig). Its description in RNAcentral is "lncRNA (ENSSSCG00005026227.1)". Lineage: Eukaryota; Metazoa; Chordata; Mammalia; Artiodactyla; Suidae. The record is from RNAcentral.